GACGAACGCUGGCGGCGUGCUUAACACAUGCAAGUCGAACGGAAAGGCCCUGCUUUUGUGGGGUGCUCGAGUGGCGAACGGGUGAGUAGCACGUGAGUAACCUGCCCUUGACUUUGGGAUAACUUCAGGAAACUGGGGCUAAUACCGGAUAGGAGCUCCUGCUGCAUGGUGGGGGUUGGAAAGUUUCGGCGGUUGGGGAUGGACUCGCGGCUUAUCAGCUUGUUGGUGGGGUAGUGGCUUACCAAGGCUUUGACGGGUAGCCGGCCUGAGAGGGUGACCGGCCACAUUGGGACUGAGAUACGGCCCAGACUCCUACGGGAGGUAGCAGUGGGGAAUAUUGCACAAUGGGCGGAAGCCUGAUGCAGCAACGCCGCGUGCGGGAUGACGGCCUUCGGGUUGUAAACCGCUUUCGCCUGUGACGAAGCGUGAGGGACGGUAAUGGGUAAAGAAGCACCGGCUAACUACGU
This 467-nucleotide ribosomal RNA is filed under the name uncultured bacterium. Its description in RNAcentral is "partial 16S ribosomal RNA". It matches the Rfam family "Bacterial small subunit ribosomal RNA", at positions 28 to 506 of the family's 1533-position model. The record is from RNAcentral.